This 103-nucleotide small nuclear RNA is filed under the name Cephalotus follicularis. Lineage: Eukaryota; Viridiplantae; Streptophyta; Magnoliopsida; Oxalidales; Cephalotaceae. The record is from RNAcentral.
GUCCCUUCGGGGACAUCCGAUAAAAUUGGAACAAUACAAAGAAUAUUAGCAUGGCCUCUGCGCAAGGAUGACACGUAUAAAUUGAGAAAUUGUCCCAAUUUUU